Molecule: ribosomal RNA, 253 nt
Filed under: uncultured bacterium
Lineage: Bacteria
Description: partial 16S ribosomal RNA
Rfam family: Bacterial small subunit ribosomal RNA
Source: RNAcentral
UACGUAGGGUGCGAGCGUUGUCCGGAAUUACUGGGCGUAAAGAGCUCGUAGGUGGUUUGUCGCGUCGUUCGUGAAAACCUGAGGCUUAACCUUGGGCGUGCGGGCGAUACGGGCAGACUGGAGUACUGCAGGGGAGACUGGAAUUCCUGGUGUAGCGGUGGAAUGCGCAGAUAUCAGGAGGAACACCGGUGGCGAAGGCGGGUCUCUGGGCAGUAACUGACGCUGAGGAGCGAAAGCGUGGGGAGCGAACAGG